This 1638-nucleotide long non-coding RNA is filed under the name Sus scrofa (pig). RNAcentral describes it as "lncRNA (ENSSSCG00005002643.1)". Lineage: Eukaryota; Metazoa; Chordata; Mammalia; Artiodactyla; Suidae. The record is from RNAcentral.
CAUUUCCAAACAAUCCCUAGAUUUUAAAUAGUUAAGAAAAACCGUAAUGCAAAUAAAUCCAUGGAAAGCUCCCACAUUAUGUUUGCCUAACCAAGACUCCACAGAGACGCUACACAGGAAAUAAAGAAAUAAGGCCCACAUUCCUCAAAACUGAAUGAGGAAGUGGUGAGUUGGCCCCACUAUAGAGACUCUUAUGUUUGAAAUAUUUUCUCCUUUAUCAAGCUCAUGGGACGAAGGUUUCGUUAAUACACAGAAAUAACCACCAUCCAGUGUAUAACAUAUUUGCCCCUCAUAUUCUCGCAAAUCUAAAUUUCCAUGUUUUUCCACAUAGGCAAGGAAAAGGUAAUGACUAACUCCUGGGCAGUAAAUCAUAUAGACGAUCAGAAAGCAAAUAGGGUGCCUCCCUGUUAGUUUUCUUCAGUUAUCAAACUAUAUAAAAUAUACACCCUUUCUCUGGGGGCCUCUAUUAAACUCAUUCUACUCUAAUGAUUGUACUUUGGCUCCAAUUAACAAAAUCACACAACUUUUCAUUUCUCUGUCCCUCCUCUCCUGUCUCCUCACUUCCCCAGCAUGGGUACUUGAGGGGAUUCCACCCAACUUCCCAUCUGGACCAUCCCAACUCUGUGUAAAAGCUGUUUUAAAAGCUUUGGCUUCCAUCUAACAUUCUGUCAACUGCCCUCCCUACAACAUGACUUCUCUGAUGCUCUCCUGUGCAGUCUGGACACCACUGUCCUUCUGAAGCAGAAACUCAGCUUGUCUCUUAUACGGUCAUGAAAACUCACCAUGACUCAGCAGGGGGCUCUUUACUCACUGUCCACAGUGGACAGAACAGGACUUGCCGAGCCAUCCUGCAUGGAUAUUUGGAAUCCUCAGUGCCUGUAAUCUAUCCCAUGAUGAGCCCUAGGGACCAGGCUUUUUUUCUUUCAUAUCUUACGAUGAAGACAUGUUUACCAAAAGAGGUUUUAGUAAAUAUGUUUUAAAUCUCCAAAUCUUGUAUCCUAUAGUAUUUGUACAUACACAUGAAUUUAAAUAAAGUCUAUGGAGGGUUAGUCAAGAGAGAGCUCUGAGGAAGGGAGCUUUGAUGACCCAGGGCCAUUCGAAAACUAGGAAACAGAUACAGACGGAGUCAGUUUCCACAUAUUUGGUUAAUCCUGAAAAUACAUAAGUGCUAUCUAGUCUUAUUGCUUGUACUUUCUACUAAUUUAUUCAUUUAUAAUCUUGGAUGGGAUAAGGUGGAGGGGAGAUGAGGAAGCUGACUUUGAAAUCAAUGGAAAUGAGUGGUGAGGAUUUUUAAUUUUAUACUUCCAUUGUAGGAAUAGUGUUUUUAUACAUUAAUGUUCAGGCUUAGUUCCAUCUUUUUCAUUAAGAUAGGUUUGUACUUUAUCCUUCAUAAACUCUCUAUCUGCACUUCUGUGCCGCAUGAUUUUUUCAUUUCCUCAAUCCUAUUAUAGGAGAGAAGCAAUUAAACCUGAUUUGGACAGACACUUGAGUUAUAUUUUAAAAAUAUCAUUCGCAUAACAGUGAUGUUUAAAACACACACUAGGAAAUAAGCAGUGGAUCAUGAAUAAAUACAAAAACAAAACCUCUUUCCUGAAAACCAAAAAGAAAAGGCAAAGAAAGGAAAAAAAAAAAAAAAAA